Molecule: ribosomal RNA, 464 nt
Filed under: uncultured bacterium
Lineage: Bacteria
Description: bacterial SSU rRNA
Rfam family: Bacterial small subunit ribosomal RNA
Source: RNAcentral
CCUACGGGUGGCAGCAGUGGGGAAUCUUGCGCAAUGGGCGAAAGCCUGACGCAGCGACGCCGCGUGGGUGAUGAAGGCCUUCGGGUUGUAAAGCCCUGUGGGGAGAGACGAAUAAGUCAUGGCUAAUAUCCGUGGUGAUGACGGUAUCUCCUUAGCAAGCACCGGCUAACUCUGUGCCAGCAGCCGCGGUAAGACAGAGGGUGCGAACGUUGUUCGGAAUUACUGGGCGUAAAGCGCGUGUAGGUGGCAUUGCAAGUCGGAUGUGAAAGCCCGGGGCUCAACCUCGGAAGUGCAUUCGAUACUGCAAAGCUAGAGUCCUGGAGAGGAUGGUGGAACUCUCGGUGUAGAGGUGAAAUUCGUAGAUAUCGAGAAGAACACCGGUGGCGAAGGCGGCCAUCUGGACAGUGACUGACACUGAGACGCGAAAGCGUGGGGAGCAAACAGGAUUAGAUACCCUAGUAGUC